Molecule: ribosomal RNA, 422 nt
Filed under: uncultured Opitutia bacterium
Lineage: Bacteria; Pseudomonadati; Verrucomicrobiota; Opitutia
Description: uncultured Opitutae bacterium partial 16S ribosomal RNA
Rfam family: Bacterial small subunit ribosomal RNA
Source: RNAcentral
UUUCGAAUCAUUCACAAUGGGGGCAACCCUGAUGGUGCGACGUCGCGUGAGGGAUGAAGGUCUUCGGAUUGUAAACCUCUGUCACAUGGGACUAAACGUAAGGUUUAUAGCCUUACCUGAAUUAACUAUGAGAGGAAGUAGUGGCUAACUCUGUGCCAGCAGCCGCGGUAAUACAGAGACUACGAGCGUUACUCGGAUUCACUGGGCGUAAAGGGAGCGCAGGCGGAAAUGUGUGUUAGGUGUGAAAGCCCGAGGCUUAAUUUCGGAAUUGCGCCUAAAACUACAUAUCUAGAGACUUGGAGGGGUAAGCGGAAUUUCUGGAGUAGCGGUAAAAUGCGCAGAUAUCAGAAGGAACACCGAUGGCGAAGGCAGCUUACUGGACAAGAUCUGACGCUCAGGCUCGAAAGUGUGGGUAGCAAAAG